UACGGAGGGGGCUAGCGUUGUCCGCAGUUACUGGGCGUAAAGCGCGCGUAGGCGGGUUGGUAAGUCCGCUGUGAAAGCCCGGAGCUUAACUCCGGAGGGUCGGUGGAUACUGCCAGUCUUGAAGGUGCUAGGGGGAGAUGGAAUUACCGGUGUAGCGGUGAAAUGCGUAGAUAUCGGUAGGAACACCAGUGGCGAAGGCGGUCUCCUGGGGCAUGCUUGACGCUGAGGCGCGAAAGCUGGGGGAGCAAACGGG
Molecule: ribosomal RNA, 253 nt
Filed under: uncultured bacterium
Lineage: Bacteria
Description: partial 16S ribosomal RNA
Rfam family: Bacterial small subunit ribosomal RNA
Source: RNAcentral